UUGGAGGGCAAGUCUGGUGCCAGCAGCCGCGGUAAUUCCAGCUCCAAUAGCGUAUAUUAAAGUUGUUGCAGUUAAAAAGCUCGUAGUUGAAUUUCGGGGUCAGUAGGUUGGUCGUGCCACCGGUACGUACUGGUCUCACUGAUUCCUCCUUCCUGAUGAGCUGUAAUGCCAUUAAUUUGGUGUUGCAGGGAAUCUGGACUGUUACUUUGAAAAAAUUAGAGUGUUUAAAGCAGGCUCACGCUUGAAUACAUUAGCAUGGAAUAAUGAAAUAGGACAUCCGAUUCUAUUUUGUUGGUUUCUAGGAUCGAUGUAAUGAUUAAUAGGGAUAGUUGGGGGCAUUAGUAUUCAAUUGUCAGAGGUGAAAUUCUUGGAUUUAUUGAAGACUAACUACUGCGAAAGCAUUUGCCAAGGAUGUUUUCAUUAAUCAAGAACGAAAGUUAGGGGAUCGAAGACGAUCAGAUACCGUCGUAGUCUUAACCAUAAACUAUGCCGACUAGGGAUCGGAUGAUGUUAAUUUUUUAAUGACUCAUUCGGCGCCUUACGGGAAAC
Molecule: ribosomal RNA, 549 nt
Filed under: uncultured Glomus
Lineage: Eukaryota; Fungi; Glomeromycota; Glomeromycetes; Glomerales; Glomeraceae
Description: SSU rRNA
Rfam family: Eukaryotic small subunit ribosomal RNA
Source: RNAcentral